This 73-nucleotide non-coding RNA is filed under the name unclassified sequences. RNAcentral describes it as "Flavo-1 RNA". It matches the Rfam family "Flavo-1 RNA". RNAcentral also lists the same sequence under 1 other name. The record is from RNAcentral.
UUGCGUUAGGGAUUGUAACGAAAAUCCUUUUUCUUUUUUCAGAAAAAGAUUGUAGUGAAAAGCCCGACCCGAU